UUUUUCUUAGUGGCGGACGGGUGAGUAACACGUGAGCAACCUGCCCUUCAGAGCGGGAUAACGUUUGGAAACGAACGCUAAUACCGCAUGACAUCCCGGGAUGGCAUCGUUCUGGGAUCAAAGAUUUAUCGCUGAAGGAUGGGCUCGCGUCCGAAUUAGGUUGUUGGUGAGAUAACAGCCCACCAAGCCGAACGAUCGGUAGCCGGACUGAGAGGUUGAUCGGCCACAUUGGGACUGAGACACGGCCCAGACUCCUACGGGAGGCAGCAGUGGGGGAUAUUGCACAAUGGGGGAAAACCCUGAUGCAGCGACGCCGCGUGAGGGAAGACGGUUUUCGGAUUGUAAACCUCUGUCUUUGGGGACGAAUAGAUGACGGUACCCAAGGAGGAAGCCACGGCUAACUACGUGCCAGCAGCCGCGGUAAUACGUAGGUGGCAAGCGUUGUCCGGAAUUACUGGGUGUAAAGGGAGCGUAGGCGGGUUCAACAAGUUGAUUGUAUAAACGAUCGGCUCAACUGGUCGUGGCGAUCAAAACUGUAGAUCUUGAGUGGAGUAGAGGCAGGCGGAAUUCCUAGCGUAGCGGUGAAAUGCGUAGAUAUUAGGAGGAACACCAAGUGGCGAAGGCGGCCUGCUGGGCUCUAACUGACGCUGAGGCUCGAAAGCGUGGGUAG
This 670-nucleotide ribosomal RNA is filed under the name uncultured Bacillota bacterium. RNAcentral's name for it is "bacterial SSU rRNA". It matches the Rfam family "Bacterial small subunit ribosomal RNA", at positions 86 to 768 of the family's 1533-position model. Lineage: Bacteria; Bacillati; Bacillota. The record is from RNAcentral.